CAGCAUAGCCGAGGCCAGGGGCCUUGUGUCAGAUAGCAUUAGCUCUCGCUAGUGUUAACAUUAUGCUAGCUGGUCACCAGGAAAGAUUUUCAACACAUACAGUACGUAAGAUGCAUACAUUAUAGCAAUCUAAUUCAUCUUUUAGACAAGUUAUUUGUCGAGUUUCACGAAGUACGUCGCCGGGAAUAAGAGAGAAGUUACUGGUGAACUGCAGGUAUUUUUUAAAUUGUCCAUUAUACAGUGGUACCGUGUCCUUUUGCUUUGAACAGCUAGCUAAAAUUUGUUUUAGCUAGCAUAGCCAGCAUAGCCGAGGACAGGGGCCUUGUGUCAGGUAGCAUUAGCUCUCGCUAGUGUUAACAUUAUGCUAGCUGGUCACCAGGAAAGAUUUUCAACACAUACAGUACGUAAGAUACAUACAUUAUAGCAAUCUAAUUCAUCUUUUUGACAAGUUAUUUGUGAUUGUGAGUCGAGUUUUCACCAAGUACGUCGCCGGGAAGAAGAGAGAAGUUACUGGUGAACUGCAGUGUGGGAGAAGAAAGUUAUGGUGCGUUCAAGGAACAUGGAGUAGAACAAGUCGCCGCUACAUGUUGCGUGGGGCCACUCUACACAUCCCAUAAUGAGCAGCCAGGCACAGAGAGGAUGCUCCAUAAAGUCUGCCUGACAGGCAGAAGACUCACUGGAUAAAAGAAGACAAACCUUACAGAUGCGGUGGAGUGUGCAAUAUUGCAAAAGCAAUGAAUACAUUUUCAGUAAACAACUUGAGAACCAAACUCAGUCUGGGUCCAUUGUGCAUUACCAAGGAACAAAUGGAAAUCAAUUUGAGAGGAUCAGUGUUGUGCAGCUUCAAGCUGUUUGAGGACAACCGGAUCAGAAAAUGCCAAAACACAAAACGCUAUACGGAUAUUUUCUGAAUGUACAAUAAAAUAUAUGUACUGUAAAUGAACUGAAUGAAUGAAUGAUUGAUUCUAGCUUCCUCCUUAUUGCUGGAGUGAGAAGAGUUAGCGGGUAACAGAUGGCAGCCUGAUCGCAGCCUGAGCUCUCUCAGAUGAUUCUUCAUUACCUAUAAACAUGCAUGCGGCAAAAUGUCCUGCAGCAAGUGCUAUGCUAAUAAGACUUCCUGCUGAAUCUGAGGUCUCCUGCGCAGACAUAUGGGAAGAGAAAAUCCUUGCAUCACUAUGCCAAAAUGGAGUGCCUUGUGCCCUGUAGCCAGAUAAUAAUGAUAUGGGCAUGCGUUUUAUAACACAUACCUUACAUCAGGGCCCCAGACCAUACUGUGUGGUCCCUUACUUGGCAUUAAUGUGGAGGGUUAGCGCAGACACAUAAAGAAUGUGGCUACAAGAGAUAGCAAAUGCCACUUUUCGCUUGCUUAAAGUAAUAGAACAUUUAAUUAGGCAAGCAAUAACCAACACUGAGCUUGUCACACAGUAAACUAACAUGGGAGUCACAAAUAAUGCAUAAGGCUAAAAAUAACCAAUUACCUAAAAAUUGAUGAAGAGUCUUCAUCCAAGGAUGAAGAGUCUUGAACCAGUCAUGAUGUGCUAUAUAUAUCACUAUAUUGACACUUACUA
Doryrhamphus excisus (bluestripe pipefish) is the source of this 1568-nucleotide non-coding RNA. The record is from RefSeq and is a predicted model, not a curated record. NCBI's taxonomy places the organism in Eukaryota, Metazoa, Chordata, Actinopteri, Syngnathiformes, Syngnathidae.